Molecule: ribosomal RNA, 394 nt
Filed under: uncultured bacterium
Lineage: Bacteria
Description: partial 16S ribosomal RNA
Rfam family: Bacterial small subunit ribosomal RNA
Source: RNAcentral
ACACGUAGGGGGCGAGCGUUGUUCGGAAUCAUUGGGCGUAAAGGGCGUGCAGGCGGUCCUGCAAGUCCGGCGUGAAAGACCCCGGCCCAACCGGGGGGACGCGCUGGAAACUGCGGGGCUUGAGUACAGGAGGGGAUGCCGGAAUUCCAGGUGUAGGGGUGAAAUCUGUAGAUAUCUGGAAGAACACCAAUGGCGAAGGCAGGCAUCUGGCCAUGUACUGACGCUGAGACGCGAAGGUGCGGGGAGCAAACAGGUUUAGAUACCCUGGUAGUCCGCACAGUAAACGAUGUGCACCAGGUGGCGGGGGGUCGACCCUCGGUACCGUAGCUAACGCAUUAAGUGCACCGCCUGGGGAGUAUGCUCGCAAGGGUGAAACUCAAAGGAAUUGACGGGG